Molecule: long non-coding RNA, 1225 nt
Organism: Beta vulgaris subsp. vulgaris (sugar beet)
Lineage: Eukaryota; Viridiplantae; Streptophyta; Magnoliopsida; Caryophyllales; Amaranthaceae
Exons: 2
Source: RefSeq, a predicted model, not a curated record
AAAAGGAUUUAAUAUGAUCCUCCUAAAUCUUCCUAAUGCCUAAAAAUUUCCUAGCUUCAAUCAUAUUACAAAAAGGCAUAAAACAAAAUUAGAGAUAAAGGAGAAGAGGAAAAGAAAGCAACGAACCAAAAAAAGCACCCUCUUAUUCAAAAAUGGGGUCCAUACAAAUAUUGUCUGAUCUUCCUUCUCUCAUAUCUUAGGAUGUGACCUCCAUCAUCUUCUUCCCCACUUAAUUCAUUACCCUCAUUCACCAUUUUUUGUCUCCUCCCCCCUUUCCUUUAUUUCAAACAAAAAAGCUUAAGAAUUCCUAUUUUUACUCUACCUUAUAAGCUUACUUAAUAGACCUAUUUUCAUUUUCCACCUCCAUGGAAACUAUCACAAAAUUCGCUACUGAGCCACCACCUCUCCCUCCUGUUAUAUGUCCAGACAACCAUAUCCACCACCAAGCCGCGGCCCAACCAUCCACCCCUACGCUUAGUCGGUACGAGUCCCAAAAGCGUAGGGACUGGAAUACCUUUGGACAAUACCUUAGAAACAUGAGGCCACCCAUUUCUGUAACUCAGUGUACAUGUCACCACGUACUAGAGUUCCUUAGGUAUCUUGAUCAAUUUGGAAAAACUAAGGUGCACUUACAUGGGUGCACCUUCUUUGGGAUGCCUGACCCACCGGCUCCAUGUAGCUGCCCGCUUCGACAAGCGUGGGGCAGCCUUGAUGCACUCAUCGGACGGCUUAGAGCCGCCUACGAGGAGCACGGUGGGUCACCCGAAUCGAACCCGUUCGGAAACGGGACUAUUAGGGUCUAUUUAAGGGAAGUUAAGGAUUGUCAAGCUAAAGCAAGAGGAAUUCCUUACAAAAAGAAAAAGAAGAAGAAGAGGGUUUUAAAGACUAUUACUACUACUACUUGUGAUGGAUCUUCAUCUAAUCGUCGCUUUUAAGAUAUCUGCUGCCUAGCUUGCUACAUUAUCUUUCUAGAAUGGAAAAGCACGGCAAUGAAAUCUUGUUCUAGAAAAUGAGGUAAGUUAGAAAAUAGAAGAUUACGCGAAAUGAUAUAUGGGCAUGACCAAGUUCAGAGUUUCCUGGACAAAAAAUGUAUCAUAGUAAUAUUUGUAAUACUAAUAGUAUACUUUGCAAACUUUUUAAAAGUAACAACUUUAUGUCGGUGCCCAAUCAUAUUACUUGUAUGCAAGAUUAUUCCAUCGAGAGGAUGAUAAUGACACUUGAGACA